RNAcentral lists this transfer RNA (72 nucleotides) under Ovis aries (sheep). It matches the Rfam family "tRNA". Rfam says of the family: Transfer RNA (tRNA) molecules are approximately 80 nucleotides in length. Their secondary structure includes four short double-helical elements and three loops (D, anti-codon, and T loops). The record is from Rfam by way of RNAcentral. Lineage: Eukaryota; Metazoa; Chordata; Mammalia; Artiodactyla; Bovidae.
UCUCUAGUGGCUCAGAUGGUAAAGUGUCUGCCUACAACGUAGGAGACCCAGGUUCAAUCCCUGGGUCGGGAA